Molecule: ribosomal RNA, 271 nt
Filed under: uncultured bacterium
Lineage: Bacteria
Description: partial 16S ribosomal RNA
Rfam family: Bacterial small subunit ribosomal RNA
Source: RNAcentral
UACGGAGGGUGCAAGCGUUAAUCGGAUUUACUGGGCGUAAAGCGCACGUAGGUGGUUUGUUAAGUCGGGUGUGAAAUCUCCGGGCUCAACCCGGAGGGUGCGCCCGAAACUGGUCCGCUCGAGGAUGGGAGGGGAGACUGGAAUUCUCGGUGUAGCAGUGAAAUGCGUAGAUAUCGAGAGGAACACCCGUGGCGAAGGCGAGUCUCUGGACCAUUCCUGACACUGAGGCACGAAAGCCGGGGGAGCAAACAGGAUUAGAAACCCUAGUAGU